AUGAACGCUGGCGGCGUGCCUAACACAUGCAAGUCGAACGAAGCACUUCUCCCGUCAAAGUAGAUUAGCUUGCUAUGAAGCGGAGACAUUUGAAGUGACUUAGUGGCGGACGGGUGAGUAACGCGUGGGUAACCUGCCCUGUACUGGGGGACAACAGUUGGAAACGGCUGCUAAUACCGCAUAAGCGCACAGCAUCGCAUGGUGCAGUGUGAAAAAACUCCGGUGGUACAGGAUGGACCCGCGUCUGAUUAGCUAGUUGGUGGGGUAACGGCCUACCAAGGCGACGAUCAGUAGCCGGCCUGAGAGGGUGAACGGCCACAUUGGGACUGAGACACGGCCCAGACUCCUACGGGAGGCAGCAGUGGGGAAUAUUGCACAAUGGGGGAAACCCUGAUGCAGCCGACGCCGCGUGAGUGAUGAAGUAUUUCGGUAUGUAAAGCUCUAUCAGCAGGGAAGAAAAUGACGGUACCUGACUAAGAAGCACCGGCUAAAUACGUGCCAGCCGCCGC
Molecule: ribosomal RNA, 509 nt
Filed under: uncultured bacterium
Lineage: Bacteria
Description: bacterial SSU rRNA
Rfam family: Bacterial small subunit ribosomal RNA
Source: RNAcentral